GAGUUCCCACUCCACUCCAAGGAUCCAACAGCGCACAAGCUGCUCUUCACGGGCAACUACCUCUGCAAGCUUCACCCCCGGCCCCGCCACGCCCCGCAGGGUUCCCUGUCUGGUCUGGAUCACCUCGCUCUCCCUGCGCCUCUCUCCUUGGCCUAGCUAGACAAGUGCUUCUCACGAUCCAGCGCGUUUACCGCUCGGUUUCGUCGCCGCUAAGGGGUGGUGGUGUCUGAUCCGUCAGGCUCUGCGCUUCUCUCUCGGAUCCAUCCUCAAUGUCCAGGCAGGACUCUCACAUGAAGCCGGUGCUGUCUGCUGUUCACUCUAAGAUGUCCAGCCACUCAGGACAGUUACGAUCUGUCAUCCAGGGCCCAAACCGACUCUCCUCUAUUGCUAUCUGAGGUAGGCAGUCUCCUCUGUGAGGUCGGUCCCAUCCAUACUGCCUAGAUCCCUGCGCAGGAAGACUGAGAUGAGGACCCUAGGAGACAGCAGCCAGGGAUAGCGAAGGUGGAGGAUGAGUAUAAAUAGCGACCCCAGCGCGAUCAGAGAAGCUCCCUUACCCCCACCCAUCGCAGUGGGAGUGAGUCUUCAGAUCUACCCCCAAGACAACGAAAUCCUACCCGGGCCAUUGAAGGGAAACCUCCACUCCAACCCCCAGAAGACGCCUUAGAUGAGAAAGUGAAGAGAUAUUGUAUGAGCUCAUUCAUCAAAGGCCAUGCCAUCACCAGCUCAGGCAGUGCUGCUAGGGGAUUCCUGCCUCUCUGGAGGUCCAGUUCUCUCUGAAGACAGAGAAGAUGCAGGGAGGAAGGGUUUCAAACAGGAACUCUCAACCCACGUCUGCCAGUUGUAGACUCUGUAAACAAAGUUCCAACUCGCCCGCUGCUGCCACUGCCGCUGCUAUUUUUUGAGGUCAAGGCUCUUCCACCUGUAUGCCCAUCUUCAUAGACCGGCCCAUCACUGGUGCCUCAAGCAUUUUCACUAUCACAGCCAGUAAUCUGCAGACUCAACCUCAAGCCUACUUUGUACUUUGGUAUAAACUGCAUGGAUACCAAUCCCUUUUCACAGGUUUUCAUCUCCUGGUCUCCCAUAGGAUCCAGGAUGAGUAUCCUCCCAUUUGACCAGUUCCAUCCCAGUAUGGAGCAGAUAUCCCUUGUAAAGAACACAGUCUCCACCAGCCCACCUGCUUUUAUGGUCAACAGCCCUACCUGAAUUUCCAACAUUGCCUUUUGACCCAAGAAACACCUAUCACCUGAAAUCUAGGGUUCCAGACAGGCAUCAACAGGAAACCACUCUCUUCAAUGCCCUGUCUUUUCUGGCCCACCUACCACUGCUUCUGCAGUCACCUCCACUAUAGUAAGCAGACCCUCUUCAGACUUGGCAUCCAAGCCUGCCUUUUACUCUGAUGAAAUCAACAUGGAUACCAUGCCCAUUUCCCCAUCUGUUAUCUUCCUGUCUCUCCCUGCAAUGUUAACAGCUGUUUCCCUUUGAAGAACCUGGCAGCCCCCAGAAAUCCUUCCUACUUAACCUCUACUGCAGCCCUGGAACCCAAUGACAGCACCACUCAGGCAGCUUUUGGGAAUUUGACUCCCCCAUGUCCACCUUUGGCAUCUGCUAUGGUUUGAAUGUGUCAACCAAAUUUCGUGUAUUAAAAACUCAAUCCCCA
RNAcentral lists this long non-coding RNA (1657 nucleotides) under Homo sapiens (human). RNAcentral's name for it is "HSALNT0258764". Lineage: Eukaryota; Metazoa; Chordata; Mammalia; Primates; Hominidae. The record is from RNAcentral.